This 366-nucleotide ribosomal RNA is filed under the name uncultured bacterium. RNAcentral describes it as "bacterial SSU rRNA". It matches the Rfam family "Bacterial small subunit ribosomal RNA", at positions 109 to 507 of the family's 1533-position model. The record is from RNAcentral.
AGUACACGUGACUUAUCUACCCUCGAGUGGGGAAUAACUUCGGGAAACCGAGGCUAAUACCGCAUAAUACCCACGGGUCAAAGGAGCAAUUCGCUUGAGGAGGAGGUCGCGGCCGAUUAGUUAGUUGGCGGGGUAAUGGCCCCACCAAGACGGUGAUCGGUAUCCGGCCUGAGAGGGCGCACGGACACACUGGAACUGAAACACGGUCCAGACUCCUACGGGAGGCAGCAGUGGGGAAUUUUGCGCAAUGGGGGAAACCCUGACGCAGCAACGCCGCGUGGAGGAUGAAGUCUCUUGGGACGUAAACUCCUUUCGAUCGGGACGAUUAUGACAGUACCGGAAGAAGAAGCCCCGGCUAACUUCGUG